ACGUAAUAGAUACCCGGGUAGUCCACGCCCUAAACGAUGUCUACUAGUUGUUGGUGGAGUAAAAUCCAUGAGUAAACGCAGCUAAACGCGUGAAGUAGACCGCCUGGGGAGUACGGUCGCAAGAUUAAAACUCAAAGGAAUUGACGGGGCCCGCACAAGCGGUGGAUUAUGUGGAUUAAUUCGAUGCAACGCGAAAAACCUUACCUGGCCUUGACAUGCCACUAACGAAGCAGAGAUGCAUUAGGUGCCCGUAAGGGAAAGUGGACACAGGUGCUGCAUGGCUGUCGUCAGCUCGUGUCGUGAGAUGUUGGGUUAAGUCCCGCAACGAGCGCAACCCUUGCCAUUAAUUGCCAUCAUUUAGUUGGGCACUUUAAUGGGACUGCCGGUGACAAACCGGAGGAAGGUGGGGAUGACGUCAAGUCCUCAUGGCCCUUAUGGCCAGGGCUUCACACGUAAUACAAUGGUCGGUACAGAGAGUUGCCAACCCGCGAGGGGUAGCCAAUCUCAGAAAGCCGAUCGUAGUCCGGAUUGUUCUCUGC
This 539-nucleotide ribosomal RNA is filed under the name uncultured bacterium. Its description in RNAcentral is "bacterial SSU rRNA". It matches the Rfam family "Bacterial small subunit ribosomal RNA", at positions 773 to 1308 of the family's 1533-position model. The record is from RNAcentral.